AAAUUGAAAGAAAGGAGGAAAGGAAAAAGAAGCGAAUCUUGAGAAAGAUGUUUUUGGCGAUAAGUCGCGAAUAAAAGAGAAGGAGACGAUGACGCCUGUUCCUGAUGGCCUAUUACUUCAUUAAAUUGUCAUUAAAGUCAGUCUUGGAUCUAAUGAUAUUGAAGUGAAGAAUAAUUUUCUGCACCUCACACGCAC
Leptopilina heterotoma is the source of this 195-nucleotide long non-coding RNA. RefSeq lists it as uncharacterized. The record is from RefSeq and is a predicted model, not a curated record. The transcript has 2 exons. Lineage: Eukaryota; Metazoa; Arthropoda; Insecta; Hymenoptera; Figitidae.